GGCUUAUUGAUUAUAAUUUUAAGUYUGACCUGCCCAAUGAGAAGUUAAAUGGCCGCGGUAAUCUGACCGUGCAAAGGUAGCAUAAUCACUAGUUUUUUAAUUGAAAGCUUGAAUGAAAGGUUUGAUGAAAAGGUUUCUGUCUCUUUAAAAAUUUAUUAGAAUUUUAUUUUUAAGUGAAAAAGCUUAAAUGUUUAUAGAAGACGAGAAGACCCUAUAGAGUUUUAUAUUCACAUAUUUUGUUUUAUCAUAGGUAAGAAAGAUUAACUUUUUUUGUGUUUAUUUUGUUGGGGUGAUAGGAAAAUUAAAUAAACUUUUCUAUAUAUUUACAUUAAUAUAUGAAUGUAUGAUCCUAAAUUUUAGAUUAUAAGAUUAAAUUACCUUAGGGAUAACAGCGUAAUCUUUUUUAGAGUUCUUAUCAAAAAGAGGGAUUGCGACCUCGAUGUUGGAUUAAAAUUUAUAGUUGGUGAAGGAGCUAAUUAAUUAA
RNAcentral lists this ribosomal RNA (484 nucleotides) under Trigonopterus sp. 170 AR-2022a. Its description in RNAcentral is "partial large subunit ribosomal RNA". Lineage: Eukaryota; Metazoa; Arthropoda; Insecta; Coleoptera; Curculionidae. The record is from RNAcentral.